AUAUGUAUUCAUUUCCUACCACUGUAGUGGAAGAGAGACUAUCCCUGUCUUUACACCCGGUAGCAUUUCCAACAGUAAGCUGUGAGAUUCUGCUUGAAAUCACCUCUCAAACAAAUAAAAAACAGACCUGGGAAAUGUGCUACACUCAUUCUGCUGAAGAAAUUGACAUCAUAGCUGGGGAAACAGGGAUUCAAAAGAUCCAGGCUGUUCCCUACAUAUUUUUCCUCCUCAGACAUCAGUUCAUCAGUCAAUCAAGUCAGGUGAGAGUGGAGGCCAUGUAUUCCUUAUUCUUGGGCACUGUCCUCCAAGGAGGAAGAGGCCAGGAGGUCCUGUUAGAGGAUGCACUCUGAGAGGCCGGGCUCCCUAAGGUGUGAGGGUUCUAACCAGCAGGUGUAGACUUUUCAGGAGUGAGGAAUGAGGCAGGCAUUCCAAACCUGGAGCUUCAUCACCUUUUGUUUCAUCUCAAGACAAUUCUGAGGGGCUGUUUUGGAACGUGUCUGGAAGGUGAACAUUGAAGAAGAGUGGGCUUUGAUGUGACUCAGAUAAGAUC
RNAcentral lists this long non-coding RNA (550 nucleotides) under Pongo abelii (Sumatran orangutan). RNAcentral's name for it is "lincRNA". The record is from RNAcentral. Lineage: Eukaryota; Metazoa; Chordata; Mammalia; Primates; Hominidae.